Molecule: ribosomal RNA, 119 nt
Organism: Lepisosteus oculatus (spotted gar)
Lineage: Eukaryota; Metazoa; Chordata; Actinopteri; Semionotiformes; Lepisosteidae
Source: Ensembl
UUAUUCAGCCAUAUCACCCUGCAACUCACAACUGGCAACCCACUGAAGCUAAGCAGGUGUGAGCCUGGUCAGUACCUGGAUGGGAGACCUCCUGGGAAAAACUAAGGUUGCUGCUGGAA